RNAcentral lists this long non-coding RNA (523 nucleotides) under Vombatus ursinus (common wombat). RNAcentral's name for it is "lncRNA (ENSVURG00010015713.1)". The record is from RNAcentral. Lineage: Eukaryota; Metazoa; Chordata; Mammalia; Diprotodontia; Vombatidae.
AUUAAUGCCUACUUUGUUUUAGGCACUACAUUAGUCACUGGGGUUACAAAAGUAAAACUGAAAAUAAUCUCUGACCUCCAGGAACUGACAUCUGUCUAGCAAACAAACUUCAGUUUCCUCCUGUGUCCUCGAGUAAAACUGGGCAUCCAAUUAUCUGGACUGGCCUAGGGGAUUUAAGUAUUGAUGCGCAGGCCGCUGGACACUCGGACCGUCCUGGUUCACUGCUGGGCCCAGACGAGAGAGAAGAGAGCCGCCAUGGUGGAACCCAAUGGUUUUCUCUACCACUUGUACGAAGUGUUGGACUGCAUUUCUCCUGAGCUUAUGUGGGCAGCCGUCGGGCCGGAGGGCAAGCAGAAGAGGUUUUAUUAUGUUCUGAAGGAGCAAGUGUCCUCCUUCUCCAAAGCCUUGCUGACCCUGGCAGAGGCCUGCUACCCGAUGACUGAGCUGCUGGCCCAGCACGUGUUUGAAGAUCUCAUGGAGAGAUGUGAAGCUCUGCUGGCUCACUGCUGAACCUGGGCUUGGG